Long non-coding RNA from Daucus carota subsp. sativus, 1330 nucleotides. RefSeq lists it as uncharacterized. The transcript has 5 exons. Lineage: Eukaryota; Viridiplantae; Streptophyta; Magnoliopsida; Apiales; Apiaceae. The record is from RefSeq and is a predicted model, not a curated record.
UUGGAUUAUCCAUGGCCAUACAGGUUUGAACUGAUUUGUCUCAACUGCCUCCCUCCACUCACAGGAAUAUUAUCUUACCAUCAGUUUGAAAUUCAAAUGCCUUGAUUCGUGGAGGCCUGAUUUUGACACAUUUCAAUCCUAUACUCGGUUGCAACACAUUCCGGUGGCGUCCUUGAUCAAACACAGGUCCCUUCUGGCUUCUUCGUCGACAUGCCCGGCAGUGAAGUGUGAACGCACUCUGAACGGUCCUGUGUCUCCUCCUUCCGUCAGUAAUGGAUGUAAGCGGGUUCCUCUGGGACUUUUCUCGCCUAAUUCAAAACAAACUGGAAGUGUUUGGCAUCCUCCCUCGCAUAGAAGAUAGUUGUAUAUAAAUCUUCUAAUUAUUAAAAUACAAACCCACAGUGUUUGAUAAAAUGCACCAAUGAAGAAAUUUACUUCCGCAUUCAAAAUAUCUUCGAACAAAUGUGCUCGAUCAGAUUUAUUAGCAGGUAUACAUGUUUGUUUCUCAAAAUUUUUUCUUCACUUGAUUAUUCACGGUCUUAAGUAUUUAUAUCACUGAGCUUUCUUGGGUUUUUCACAGUAUUUAACAUGGAUUUGCACCAAUGGUCAACCGUGCGAUUGAUGUUUCAAUGAGAUAUUCUAUGUUUUGCUUUCCUGAGGUUUUCUAGGAUACAGUAUAAUGUGGCAUUCUGGCUUACUGUUUGUUCAUUUACAGAUAUCAUCUGGUGUUAAUGGAUGCAACAGGUCAAUUAAACUAUGGAUAGCUGCUUACUGUUUGGUCACAAGAUCUGGAUGGAAGAGGACAGUGCUUGGACCUUAAUGAGAGAAAGAAAAAGAUGGAAGGAGAAGAAACAUGAUCUCUCUGGCUUUGCAAAUCAUUCUACAAUAUUUCAGACAGUUAUUAUCCCAAGACUAAGAAAGCAAGAUAUGAUUGAACUGGGGAGAUGUUUCAGGUUGCUGUGAGUUGUAGUGAUUGGGAAUACAUGGCUUGCUGUCUGAUAUUCACACAAGGUGAGUGUGUAUUUCUGCUUGAUCAUCCUUACAUUAUUAAAUUCUGAAUUUUUGGGCCAUGGUUGUCCAUGUCCUUCCAUUACCGGAAGUGCUACAGCUACAACAUACAUGUCAAGAGUUGAUGCAAGUUACUCAAAUUUUAUCUUAGUGCAUUCGAAUCCCGACAUUCGAAUGACAGGUUUUACGGUCAAGCUUUCUAUCUCUUGACAAAUUAUAAUGUGUCUCAUUAGUAUGUCAUGCAAGUUAUAAUGUUGAUCAGCUUUGUUAUGAAAUUCUCUGUAUAGACAUGUAAUGUACUUGCCAUUGACAAGGCUGUCGC